This 653-nucleotide ribosomal RNA is filed under the name uncultured Microbacteriaceae bacterium. RNAcentral describes it as "bacterial SSU rRNA". It matches the Rfam family "Bacterial small subunit ribosomal RNA", at positions 95 to 760 of the family's 1533-position model. Lineage: Bacteria; Bacillati; Actinomycetota; Actinomycetes; Micrococcales; Microbacteriaceae. The record is from RNAcentral.
GUGGCGAACGGGUGAGUAACACGUGAGUAACCUGCCCUUGACUCUGGGAUAAGCACUGGAAACGGUGUCUAAUACCGGAUACGAACUUCCACCGCAUGGUGAGGAGUUGGAAAGAAUUUUGGUCAAGGAUGGACUCGCGGCCUAUCAGCUAGUUGGUGAGGUAAUGGCUCACCAAGGCGACGACGGGUAGCCGGCCUGAGAGGGUGACCGGCCACACUGGGACUGAGACACGGCCCAGACUCCUACGGGAGGCAGCAGUGGGGAAUAUUGCACAAUGGGCGCAAGCCUGAUGCAGCAACGCCGCGUGAGGGACGAAGGCCUUCGGGUUGUAAACCUCUUUUAGUAGGGAAGAAGCGUAAAAGUGACGGUACCUGCAGAAAAAGCACCGGCUAACUACGUGCCAGCAGCCGCGGUAAUACGUAGGGUGCAAGCGUUAUCCGGAAUUAUUGGGCGUAAAGAGCUCGUAGGCGGUUUGUCGCGUCUGCUGUGAAAUCUGGGGGCUCAACCCCCAGCCUGCAGUGGGUACGGGCAGACUAGAGUGCGGUAGGGGAGAUUGGAAUUCCUGGUGUAGCGGUGGAAUGCGCAGAUAUCAGGAGGAACACCAAUGGCGAAGGCAGAUCUCUGGGCCGUAACUGACGCUGAGGAGCGAAAGC